This 2686-nucleotide long non-coding RNA is filed under the name Oryctolagus cuniculus (rabbit). RNAcentral's name for it is "lncRNA (ENSOCUG00000033196.1)". The record is from RNAcentral. Lineage: Eukaryota; Metazoa; Chordata; Mammalia; Lagomorpha; Leporidae.
UAAUAAAAACCCCAUGCUGCAUAGAUAAUGCAGAUAGUUCUAGUAAUCUGGUCAACGGGCAAAAAGCAAGCACUUAAGGUCUUCAGCUCCAAUCUUUUGUUCAUUUCUUAUUGCUGGAAUUUCAUAUUCAUUUCUUCUUGUUGGAUGACUAAACCGGAUGAUGGUAGAGAUGUUAAGCCGGCAUUUACUCAGCCCCGCCCUGCUCAGCCUCGGGAGCGGACGAAUUCUCAGCUGGUGGAUCGGCUGCUUUUGUCUCUUUGCCAUCUUGUGGUUUAGGGUUAUCUGGGCGUCUGCGUCGGUUGUUGAAGUUGCGGCGGUACCGACGCUGAGGUGGCUGCUGACCCUGGGUCUCAUCUCCUUGGUUUUCCUUGUCUUCUUCAUUGCCGUCCUCUCUAGGCUGUCUUUGGUGAGGAGGACCUCUGCGGAAUCGUGGUCUAUAACCCCGAUACAUAUUCUGUCUCACUGGUCUACCUUGUUCUCCUGCACCCUGGUUGUCAGCACCUUCCAUCACUUCUCCCUGCACAGGAGGGUUGGAAUACUGUGGUCGACGCCCAUAGGGUCUCCGCAUGUAGUAAGGUGGGAACCUUCGCCUGCGGUAGGGCCGGCGUUGUUGGGCCUGGCCUUCGGGAGCGCUCUCCGAUCCCUCAUUCUUUUCCCCACUCUCACUAUUCUGGUAAUUCUGCUGGUAAUUGCGUGGAGGAGUCUUAACCUAUUAUACCUCAGUGCCGGCCCCAAAUAGCUGGUUCUUGUGUCACUUUUUAAAAGUAGUCAAGUAUAAAUGUUUUAAAGUUAAAAUAUUCAAUUUGCAUCAAAUGUAGAAUGUUGAAAUUAGUACUCUGUAGUCCUAUAUUUCUGGAUAAAAUGGUUUGCAAUCACUGUUUUUGCUAUGGGAAAUUUUGAAAGCUUUCUUUGAGCAGAGUAACAAGGUCAAAUUGCCACUGGUGUGAGAUCACAGAGCAAUGCAGUACAGCCCUAAGAGGGUAGAUGCUGAGAAUGUGGGCCAGAGGGUUUUGUUGUUGUUCAGGCACAUAUACUGAGGGGAUGAAGGAAAGUGACUGCUAAUAGGACAAGACAGGAUCGAUUGCAGAAAAGAGAGUGGACUUAACAGUACUGUAGUAAUGGUUAGAUCAAAGAAUGAGGUGGUAGCAGGGCUCAAUGGUGAGAUAAAAUGCUUUGAUAUUCACUUAUUCCAGGAGCAUUUAUUCAUUGUUCUGUACAGUGAGUUGCAAUCUGGGAAUAUGAUUGUAAAUAUAACAUGCUCUUCACUUUGGAAUAUAAUUGUGUUAGAGUGGGCAUUUGGUCUAGCGGUUACAACAUCAAAUGGGAUACCUGCUUCCCAUAUCAGAGUGAAUGGGUUCUAGUCCCAGCAGCACUCCUUAUUCUAACUUCCUGAUAAUGUAUUCUGGUAGUCAGUAGGUAAUUUCUCAAGUGGUUCGGUCCCAGCCACCCACAUGGGAGACCCAGACUGAGUUCCUGACUCCUAACUUAAGCUUGGCCUAACUGGGCUGUUGCAAACAUCUGAGAGUGAACCAGCAAGGUGAUAUCCCUGUGGAUUUCUCCAUGAGAAGAAAAAAAUAUAUAUUCUUUCUUUAAAACUAUGCAUUUAAAUUAGAAGAAAACUAAAAUUAUUUCCUAUGAAUGUGAAGACAGGGGUAUUCUUGUUUCGAUGCUCAUAGCAAACAGUCACAAGACCUACAAGAUGACAGGAGAUUCUGACUUUCAUUUUAUACUACCACAAGGAUCAAACAAUGAAACUUGAUGAGAGUUUGUCAGAUUUAACUCAGAAUGCUCGUUAAUACUCCACAUGUGUAUUGAAAAUGUGAGUAGUUGGUAUGAAUUGAUGUUGAAGAAUUGUGUCUUCCAAUUAUUGUCAUAGUAAGGGAAAGUAACCCAGGAGAGAAAGUGACAUCCCCACAACUGAAGCUUUUCAUCUGCCUGAACAGACUUCACAAUUGCACUGACAGUCACUCUGGGAAGACGAUAAAUAUGAACACAUACUGAGGUCUUAAAUUAGAGGGAGAAUUCACAGGACUGGACUUGGUAUCUGAGUUGCUGACAUGUCCAGAAGUUGCCCAUUUGUGGAUGCAUUCUUGGAGCUGAGCAUAGGAGUGCACUACAAAGGAACCUGACUUGAGUAUUGAUAUAGCUGUAACCACAUUUAACAGCAAACGUAAGUUCUAUUACCUUCUGCUAUUCCUGGUGUAUGUACUGAGAAGUUUGAACAAUGCUCUUGAUUCUGUGAUAUCGUAGAGAAUCAGGGUAUAUGUCAGAUCAAUGUUUGGGUAGAAUGAAAAAGUAUAAUGUAACCCCAGUCAUCCAAGUCAGGGUUGAUUUAGGAUAACAUGUACAUAACUAAGUGGUAUAAACAUGAACUGGAUAUUACAUACUAGCAAUGGUGGGGAGAGAUAGUUGUUAAAACGUUAAGAUGAAAAGUAUAACUGAAAAACAAUAUUUGAUUGGCAUAGGGCUUGCAAAAUGAAAGCAAACCAUACAUCAAAUAUCUUUCAAAUUUCAUGUAAUGUAAUUGUAGGGAAGAAUUUUCUCUCUCCUUAAGUUGAAAGCCACUUGAUUGAUUUACUUAUCUCAUACUUUCAAUAUAUCCUUAGUAUCUGCAGGAAAAAUGAGUCAAAUGAGAUUCAAACGUAAAAGUCGUGUCAUGGAAAUAAACGAAAGUAAUAAUAUCUCA